RNAcentral lists this unclassified non-coding RNA (346 nucleotides) under Hevea brasiliensis (rubber tree). Lineage: Eukaryota; Viridiplantae; Streptophyta; Magnoliopsida; Malpighiales; Euphorbiaceae. The record is from RNAcentral.
AAUUUAUAGAAUCAGGUUGCAAUAAAAUGAUUAUAACAUUAGAACAUUUCAAUUGCCACAGAUAAAAACAAAAAACAAAACACAGAUUGUUCAACAACUAAUUGAACAAUAAUAUGGGGCUUUUCUUUGGUAAUUUAUAUUUCUUUACUUGAGAAGAAAACAAAAUGAAGUUAAAACCACAAAGGGAAACAUAUUUGAUCAUAAUCAGCAUUACUACAGUGAAAAGACUAAAAAACAUCUUAAAAUCUUGAACAUAUCAAAUCAAUCAACUUUUAGUUGCCUUUAGUUCCAGGCCUUGAAGAGUGAGCUUAAUAUGUAAAAAUAUCAGAUAUAAAUGUAAAGAGUU